GAAGCUGGUCAGGCAAUCGCUGUGUUGUUCGCAAUACAGAGGAAAGUCCGGGCUCCGCAGAGCAGAGCGCCAGGUAACGCCUGGAAGGUGAAAGCCUAUGGAAAGUGCAGCAGAAAAUAUACCGCCUACGUACGACUUGUCGUGCCGGUAAGGUUGAAAUGGUGUGGUAAGAGCACACCGCGCAGCAGGUAACUGCUUGUGGCAUGGUAAACCCCGCUCGGAGCAAGACCAAAUAGGGGGACAAUGGAGUGGCUCGCUCUGUCCUCGGGUAGGUCGCUUGAGGUGUGUGGUGACACGCAUCCCAGAUGAAUGGUUGUCCAUGACAGAACCCGGCUUAUCGACCAGCUUCCUCU
RNAcentral lists this RNase P RNA (353 nucleotides) under Gammaproteobacteria bacterium. RNAcentral describes it as "RNase P RNA component class A". It matches the Rfam family "Bacterial RNase P class A". Rfam says of the family: Ribonuclease P (RNase P) is a ubiquitous endoribonuclease, found in archaea, bacteria and eukarya as well as chloroplasts and mitochondria. Its best characterised activity is the generation of mature 5'-ends of tRNAs by cleaving the 5'-leader elements of precursor-tRNAs. The record is from RNAcentral. Lineage: Bacteria; Pseudomonadati; Pseudomonadota; Gammaproteobacteria.